AAGGGUUUAGUUUAAACAAAAACAUUAACUUGUCAAGUUAAAAAUAUAUUUAUAUAUAACUCUUA
Molecule: transfer RNA, 65 nt
Filed under: Cantao ocellatus
Lineage: Eukaryota; Metazoa; Arthropoda; Insecta; Hemiptera; Scutelleridae
Description: tRNA-Asp
Rfam family: tRNA
About the family: Transfer RNA (tRNA) molecules are approximately 80 nucleotides in length. Their secondary structure includes four short double-helical elements and three loops (D, anti-codon, and T loops).
Source: RNAcentral